Molecule: ribosomal RNA, 499 nt
Filed under: uncultured bacterium
Lineage: Bacteria
Description: bacterial SSU rRNA
Rfam family: Bacterial small subunit ribosomal RNA
Source: RNAcentral
GAUGAACGCUAGCUACAGGCUUAAACACAUGCAAGUCGAGGGGAAACGAUAAUUGGAAGCUUGCUUCCGAUAGGCGUCGACCGGCGCACGGGUGAGUAACGCGUAUCCAACCUGCCCAUCACUUGGGGAUAACCUUGCGAAAGUAAGACUAAUACCCAAUGACGUCUCUAGAAGACAUCUGAAGGAGAUUAAAGAUUUAUCGGUGAUGGAUGGGGAUGCGUCUGAUUAGCUUGUUGGCGGGGUAACGGCCCACCAAGGCGACGAUCAGUAGGGGUUCUGAGAGGAAGGUCCCCCACAUUGGAACUGAGACACGGUCCAAACUCCUACGGGAGGCAGCAGUGAGGAAUAUUGGUCAAUGGACGAGAGUCUGAACCAGCCAAGUAGCGUGCAGGAUGACGGCCCUAUGGGUUGUAAACUGCUUUUAUAAGGGAAUAAAGUGAGUCUCGUGAGACUUUUUGCAUGUACCUAUGAAUAAGGACCGGCUAAUUCCGUGCCAGCA